ACUCUAUUUCUUUCAAUUUCUGU
Molecule: small nuclear RNA, 23 nt
Filed under: Arabidopsis thaliana (thale cress)
Lineage: Eukaryota; Viridiplantae; Streptophyta; Magnoliopsida; Brassicales; Brassicaceae
Description: snRNA_00696
Source: RNAcentral